AAAGUGCGACAAGUGUCAUGACUUGCAGAUACCCGAGAGCUGACAAAUUUCUGAAUGCAAAUUGCAGCCAAGUUAACCUGGCUAUGUAUUGCAGAGAGUACUUCGCUUAUGCGCGCCAUCCAGGGGUGGUUCCAUAUUCCCCCUUGGGCUAUGUGCAGGCAUCUCUUCAUAAUGUGCUUGCUGAGCAUUGUGCCACUCCAACCUCCGUGUUGGACUAAAGGCCAACUCAAAUCAAAGAUAGAAAACCAACGAGUUUUCCCGGACAACAAUGAGCGCUAAAAUUGCCUAAACCACAAUUUUACUCUCUCACCAUUCACCUCUGCAAUGCAGGAGAACCCGCUGAACUUAA
Molecule: unclassified non-coding RNA, 349 nt
Filed under: uncultured fungus
Lineage: Eukaryota; Fungi
Description: sequence contains ITS1
Rfam family: 5.8S ribosomal RNA (bases 1-101)
Source: RNAcentral